RNAcentral lists this ribosomal RNA (465 nucleotides) under uncultured bacterium. RNAcentral's name for it is "partial 16S ribosomal RNA". It matches the Rfam family "Bacterial small subunit ribosomal RNA", at positions 339 to 795 of the family's 1533-position model. The record is from RNAcentral.
CUACGGGGGGCACCAGUGGGGAAUAUUGGACAAUGGGGGAAACCCUGAUCCAGCAAUGCCGCGUGUGUGAAGAAGGCCUGCGGGUUGUAAAGCACUUUCGGUUGGGAGGACUGCUUCUAGCACUAAUAUUGUUGGAAGUUGACGUUACCUUCAGAAGAAGCACCGGCUAACUCCGUGCCAGCAGCCGCGGUGAUACGGAGGGUGCAAGCGUUAAUCGGAAUUACUGGGCGUAGAGCGCGCGUAGGCGGCUAGAUCAGUCGGGUGUGAAAGCCCCGGGCUUACCCUGGGAACUGCACCCGAUACUGUCUAGCUCGAGUACAGGAGAGGAGAGUGGAAUUCCACAUGUAGCGGUGAAAUGCGUAGAUAUGUGGAGGAACACCAAUGGCGAAGGCAGCUCUCUGGCCUGAUACUGACGCUGAGGUGCGAAAGCGUGGGGAGCAAACAGGAUUAGAUACCCGCGUAGUC